Molecule: non-coding RNA, 58 nt
Organism: Zootermopsis nevadensis
Lineage: Eukaryota; Metazoa; Arthropoda; Insecta; Blattodea; Termopsidae
Source: Rfam
UGGUCUAGCGGUCAAAACGCUGGCCUUGUAAUCCUGAGGUCUCGGGUUCGACUCCCGG